GACGAACGCUGGCGGCGUGCCUAACACAUGCAAGUCGAGCGGGGAUUUAAGUGGAAGUUCUUCGGAAUGGAGAUUUAAAUUCUAGCGGCGGACGGGUGAGUAACGCGUGAACAAUCUGUCCCGGACAGGGGGAUAACACUUGGAAACAGGUGCUAAUACCGCAUAAGACCACGGCCUCGCAUGGGGCUGAGGUAAAAGGAGCAAUCCGGUUCGGGGUGAGUUCGCGUCCGAUUAGCUAGUUGGUGAGGUAACGGCCCACCAAGGCGACGAUCGGUAGCCGGCCUGAAAGGGUGAACGGCCACAUUGGAACUGAGAGACGGUCCAAACUCCUACGGGAGGCAGCAGUGGGGAAUAUUGGGCAAUGGGCGAAAGCCUGACCCAGCAACGCCGCGUGAGGGAAGAAGGUUUUCGGAUUGUAAACCUCUGUCCUAUGGGACGAAGGAAGUGACGGUACCAUAGGAGGAAGCCCCGGCUAACUACGUG
RNAcentral lists this ribosomal RNA (483 nucleotides) under uncultured bacterium. RNAcentral describes it as "partial 16S ribosomal RNA". It matches the Rfam family "Bacterial small subunit ribosomal RNA", at positions 28 to 507 of the family's 1533-position model. The record is from RNAcentral.